GUCUAUAGCCCUGCUACCCUGAACAAGCCCGAUCCCGUCUGAUUCCGGAAGCAAAGCAGGGUUGGGCCUGGUUAGGACUUGGAUGGGAGACCACCUUGGAAGACCAGGUGCCGCAGGUG
This 119-nucleotide ribosomal RNA is filed under the name Pteropus vampyrus (large flying fox). The record is from RNAcentral. Lineage: Eukaryota; Metazoa; Chordata; Mammalia; Chiroptera; Pteropodidae.